RNAcentral lists this ribosomal RNA (408 nucleotides) under uncultured bacterium. RNAcentral's name for it is "partial 16S ribosomal RNA". It matches the Rfam family "Bacterial small subunit ribosomal RNA", at positions 28 to 526 of the family's 1533-position model. The record is from RNAcentral.
GACGAACGCUGGCGGCGUGCUUAACACAUGCAAGUCGAACGAAGUGGCGCACGGGUGAGUAACGCGUAAUCAACCUGCCCUUCAGAGGGGGACAACAGUUGGAAACGACUGCUAAUACCGCAUACUGAAGGAGGGGAUUGCGUCGGAUUAGCUAGUUGGCGGGGUAACGGCCCACCAAGGCGAUGAUCAGUAGCCGGUCUGAGAGGGUGCACGAGCACAAUGGGACUGAGACACGGGCCAGAAUCCCACGGGAGGCAGCAGGGGGGAAACGUCCGCAAUGGACGAAAGGCUGACGGAGCAACGCCGCGUGAGUGAGGACGGCCUUCGGGGUGUAAAGCUCUGUUAAGCGGGACGCGGUACCGGAAGAGAAAGCCACGGCUAACUACGUGCCAGCAGCCGCGGUAAUAC